GACGAACGCUGGCGGCGUGCUUAACACAUGCAAGUCGAGCGGUAAGGCCUUUUCGGGGGUACACGAGCGGCGAACGGGUGAGUAACACGUGGGUGACCUGCCCUCAGCUCUGGGAUAAGCCUGGGAAACCGGGUCUAAUACCGGAUAUGACUCCAUGACGCAUGUUGUGGGGUGGAAAGCCUUGUGCGGCUGAGGAUGGGCCCGCGGCCUAUCAGCUUGUUGGUGGGGNGAUGGCCUACCAAGGCGACGACGGGUAGCCGGCCUGAGAGGGCGACCGGCCACACUGGGACUGAGACACGGCCCAGACUCCUACGGGAGGCAGCAGUGGGGAAUCUUGCGCAAUGGGACGAAAGCCUGACGCAGCGACGCCGCGUGAGGGAUGACGGCCU
This 389-nucleotide ribosomal RNA is filed under the name uncultured bacterium. RNAcentral describes it as "bacterial SSU rRNA". It matches the Rfam family "Bacterial small subunit ribosomal RNA", at positions 28 to 417 of the family's 1533-position model. The record is from RNAcentral.